GAGGCUACUUCUACGGCAGUCUAC
Molecule: non-coding RNA, 24 nt
Filed under: Arabidopsis thaliana (thale cress)
Lineage: Eukaryota; Viridiplantae; Streptophyta; Magnoliopsida; Brassicales; Brassicaceae
Source: RNAcentral